Molecule: ribosomal RNA, 584 nt
Filed under: uncultured bacterium
Lineage: Bacteria
Description: partial 16S ribosomal RNA
Rfam family: Bacterial small subunit ribosomal RNA
Source: RNAcentral
UGGGGAAUUUUGGACAAUGGGCGAAAGCCUGAUCCAGCAAUGCCGCGUGUGUGAAGAAGGCCUUCGGGUUGUAAAGCACUUUUGUCCGGAAAGAAAUCCUUGGCUCUAAUACAGUCGGGGGAUGACGGUACCGGAAGAAUAAGCACCGGCUAACUACGUGCCAGCAGCCGCGGUAAUACGUAGGGUGCAAGCGUUAAUCGGAAUUACUGGGCGUAAAGCGUGCGCAGGCGGUUUGCUAAGACCGAUGUGAAAUCCCCGGGCUCAACCUGGGAACUGCAUUGGUGACUGGCAGGCUAGAGUAUGGCAGAGGGGGGUAGAAUUCCACGUGUAGCAGUGAAAUGCGUAGAGAUGUGGAGGAAUACCGAUGGCGAAGGCAGCCCCCUGGGCCAAUACUGACGCUCAUGCACGAAAGCGUGGGGAGCAAACAGGAUUAGAUACCCUGGUAGUCCACGCCCUAAACGAUGUCAACUAGUUGUUGGGGAUUCAUUUCCUUAGUAACGUAGCUAACGCGUGAAGUUGACCGCCUGGGGAGUACGUCGCAAGAUUAAAACUCAAAGGAAUUGACGGGGUCAUAGCUGUUUCCU